This 491-nucleotide ribosomal RNA is filed under the name uncultured bacterium. Its description in RNAcentral is "bacterial SSU rRNA". It matches the Rfam family "Bacterial small subunit ribosomal RNA", at positions 29 to 514 of the family's 1533-position model. The record is from RNAcentral.
AUUGAACGCUGGCGGCGUGCCUAACACAUGCAAGUCGAGCGGUAACAGGUGUAGCAAUACAUGCUGACGAGCGGCGGACGGGUGAGUAACGCUUGGGAAUCUGCCUGUUAGUGGGGGACAACCCGGGGAAACUCGGGCUAAUACCGCAUACGCACUACGGUGGAAAGCCGGGGACCGCAAGGCCUGGCGCUAACAGAUGAGCCCAAGUCGGAUUAGCUAGUUGGUAGGGAACGGCCUACCAAGGCGACGAUCCGUAACUGGUCUGAGAGGACGACCAGUCACACCGGAACUGAGACACGGUCCGGACUCCUACGGGAGGCAGCAGUGGGGAAUAUUGGACAAUGGGCGAAAGCCUGAUCCAGCGACGCCGCGUGGGUGAAGAAGGCCUGCGGGUUGUAAAGCCCUUUCAGUGGGGAAGAAAAGCCUCGAGCGAAUACCUCGGGUCUUGACGUAACCCAUAGAAGAAGCACCGGCUAACUCUGUGCCAGCAG